RNAcentral lists this ribosomal RNA (387 nucleotides) under Triticum aestivum (bread wheat). Its description in RNAcentral is "partial small subunit ribosomal RNA". Lineage: Eukaryota; Viridiplantae; Streptophyta; Magnoliopsida; Poales; Poaceae. The record is from RNAcentral.
AUGUCAUAUAUAAAAAUAGUACAAUUUGUGAGCUUCUUGCAGACUAAUGAUGAGUUACUAGAUAAACUAAGGGUCAUCUUUUGUGGGCUCAUGGCCGGAACACGAAGCUCAAGUUGUGGUCCAGUAUGUCAGAAAAAUUCAGCCACCCCGUGUCGAGGAACUUUGCCUCGACAGUACAACAUCACACUCUGUUGUUGGUUGCGAGAAGAGCUGCGUGCAGGCCACCCCGUGUCCGCCCUUGAUCCGUCUCAGUCAUCUCCCUCUCAUCCUCUCUCUCUGAUCUGCGUUUCUGUGUGCAGGGAGUGGGAGGAGAUAGAGCAGGGGAGUGGAAGGCCCUUCCAUGGCAAAUUCGUUGGCAUCUUCCAUGGAGAUUGCGACCUCUCUUGA